GUUCACAAUUUGUUCACGGUGACUCAGUUUAUCCUUAUAGGGCUCUCUUACUUCUCCAAUGAGCACUACCUUCUUUUUGUGGCCCUUGCCAUUAUCUGUCAGGUGUUCUUGGUGCGAAGUGGAGACAUUCUCUUGGCCAUUGGGACUGUGAUUAAGUUGCACACUACUCAUGUAUUAUUUUUUGGCAAAUGUGUCCAUCUUAGACAUAUUGUGUUCAUCAGCUACUAUACCUAAGAUGCCUAAGAUUCUCUAGACUGAGGAUCACAGCAUUUCUUUUGUUAGGUGAGCUUUGCAGCCCUAUUUCCUAGUGGCCUGGGCUGGGAAGAAAGCUUUCUCACUGUUACGGCUUAUGACUGGUGUGUGGUCACAUGUUUCUCCCUUUGUUACAUCCUGAUCAUGAACAAAUUGGCUCUGUCCAGCUGGUUUAUGGGACCUGAGCAGCUGGGUUUCUAAAUUUCCUCCUCCUCCACGUAGUGUCUACCCUCUGCCUGUCUUUCUGCAAGCCUGAUCGAGUUAACCAGUAUUACUGUGAUAUCUCACCGAUGGGGGCCCUGUUGUGCCAGUCCAUGCACCUGGCAAACAUGCUUGUUUUAGUGGAAUCAGUUAUCUUGGGGAUCAGUGCUUUUCUGGCUGCCUUUAACUUUUACAUAUACAUCAUCUCCACUAUCCUAAAGAUCCAGUGUGUAGAGUGGAGUGCAAAGUGCUUCUCUACAUGCACUUCCCACCUCCUUACGGUCUGUUUGUUCUAUGGCAUAUUGACAUUUACCUACAUUUACUCCUUCUCCAGUCAACACUCACAUGUCUAAGGCAAGCCCAGAUCUAGCCACAGACAGGCUCAUCUCUAUGCUAUACAGAGUUAUUACCCUGAUGUUUAACUUCAUCACUGACAACCUGAGAAACACAGAGGUAAAAGGAGCCUCAGAAAGGUUUUAUGUCAUUGAACAUGUUUAUAGAA
Molecule: long non-coding RNA, 955 nt
Filed under: Homo sapiens (human)
Lineage: Eukaryota; Metazoa; Chordata; Mammalia; Primates; Hominidae
Description: non-protein coding lnc-OR2G3-2:1
Source: RNAcentral